GAAAUUAUGCUUAGAAGGAAAAGUAAAGCAGAGGAAAGGGACAUUAAGAACAAUUUUAUAGGAGUUGACGAUGUAUCACAUAAAGAAGACAGGCCUAAGAAAACCACUGAUCGUUUGGAACCUGAGCGACAUCGCUAUGAAUCAUUACCUAGUGUUUCCAGGCAUAAUUCAGAGAAUUCUAGGAAGUUAGGGCCAAAUCCAACCGAGGCUAAUAUGAUGGCUGAUAAAUAUGCUAGGGAUAAACACAGGGAAAGUAGAGAAUCUGAAAUCAAAUUGAAGACGUCAGUGAAUAAAGAUGUAAGCAAUAAGAGACUAGCGGGUAGCAACACUGAUAAAGAUUGUCCUGUCAUUAGAAGAAAAGAUCAGGAUCUUAUUGAUGAUUCUGGAAAUGAAACUGGUAAAAGACGUUCAAGAGAUUUGACCAGGAAGGAGAAAUCGGCAGACAAG
RNAcentral lists this unclassified non-coding RNA (447 nucleotides) under Hevea brasiliensis (rubber tree). Lineage: Eukaryota; Viridiplantae; Streptophyta; Magnoliopsida; Malpighiales; Euphorbiaceae. The record is from RNAcentral.